Molecule: long non-coding RNA, 8422 nt
Filed under: Gossypium barbadense (sea-island cotton)
Lineage: Eukaryota; Viridiplantae; Streptophyta; Magnoliopsida; Malvales; Malvaceae
Description: long non-coding RNA (GBAR_LNC014236)
Source: RNAcentral
CAUGAAUUGUAAAUGUAACCAAACAAUGUACACCCAUAAGAGAUUCUAUUACAUUCAUAGAUAGAACUUUUACAUAGGCAAAAAUCUUAAGUUACAUAUGUUAUUGGAUGUAACACCCAAUACUCGAAUCUGGUUUAUCGGGUUGAGUGGAGGGCAUUACAAUACACCAACCUAUACACUCAUUUCGUACGAUGGGCGAAUCACAAACUUCACACCAUAUUGCAGAUUCUAUUUCACAAUCUCUUUGAAGAUAGAAGUUGGAUACAUUUCUUAGAAUGAUAUACAUACAGACACCACUCUUGGCGAAUUCUAAUAUUGGCUCUAGCGACUGUCAGAAUGCCAGCUACACCGUAUCUUUAAGUCAAUCCAGACAACAAACCUAUUCCGAUGAAAGCAAUAUUUUAGAUCAUCCAAUAGAAUCCUAUGUGACUUCAAUUCAUAAUGUGAGAAUUCCCAGGUUUGGUGGACACUUACACCACCCAUAAUUCUGGAUAUGCCAAGCUUUCUAUCUCGACAGAUAAGUAUGGCAGAUUCAUCAGUCGUGUACACUACCGAGGAUCCUUUCAGAAAAUGCCUCAAAAGAAUACCUAAAUAUCGCCACAAAGGUGAACUAACAACUCGCCACUUAAGCAUUACAGAAUUUGCCUUACAGGCUUUCCAGAUAACUCCGUCACUAAGAGUCGAGUCUAGAGACUCACUAGAGACCCACCUUUAGCUUGGCCAGGAGCUUCUGUUUUGAUCGUCCUUCCCAAUCUAGUAGCAGCAACUGCUUAAAAGAAUUAUGAAAUUUCCAUUAGAAUCCUUAUUUGCAUAUAGUUUACAAACAUUUCAAGUAUAUGUGACCUCCAUGUAGGGCCUUCCACUCAUACCUACUGUUCUUAUGUCUUUUAACAUCUCUACUCUUCAACAAUCGUAACAUGCAAAGCUAUAAGACUUACCAAAAUGUUGAAUCAUCCAUUGAUUAAACAAAAUCUUAACUCUAAUUUAAUGAAGAAGAAGAGAACAUUUAGAUUAGAAAGAAAAAUUAGAACGUAGAACGAAAAGAAAAAACCAUCUAGAAUCCCCCUUCACUAUAUAUAUACUCCCAAUUCGCUUUAGUGGAUUUUGACAACUGGUAAUGCUUAUUGAAAUUUUCCCUUGAUUUUCCUACAAAAUCCGGGGGAAAAUAAAAGAAAAUCCAGCAAAGAUCGACGUUACCAUUUGACCAGUCAUGGGGAGGGUCAAAUCAAUUCAGUUGACUCCCAACUAAUCCUAUUACAAGAACCAACUUGAACAAUGCUCAUGCAAACCAAGCAUACUAUACCUUGGCAGUGACUCAUGUAUGGCGUGAUUUUAAAUAAAAUUAAGUCUCCUACAACUUUCUUAUACACUUGGUAGGCUCUUCAUGCUCAGCCAAAACUCUAGGACGCACUAUUUCUUGGGCGUAUUCUUUCUUCAGUUGAAAAUUCCUUAUAAUUAAAUACUUAUACCCAAUGGACGAAUACUUUAACGCUAGUAUUAAAAUAUAAAUAUUCAAAAUAUUUUAAAAAAUUAAAAAAUAUUUAAAAUAUUAAAAUUGAUCUAAAAUUAUAAAAAUUAUAAAAUAAUAAUUUGUAAAUAUUAUAAAAACAUAAAAAACUAAUAAAAUCUAAAAAUUAUAAAAAAUUAUAAAAUUAAUAAAACAUAUUUAAAAUUUUAUAAAAAUGUAUUAAAAUUCUUAAAAACUUAAAAAUCAUAAAAAAAUAAUUAAAAUAUUAAAAUUGAUAUAAAAUUGUAAAAAUUAUAAAAAAUCAUAAAAACUUAAAUUAGAUCGGAUCAAUCGGUCAGACUGGUUAGGCCAAAAUCGGCAAGGGAACUAGUUCGAAGAAAGCUAUUAGACUGGUUGACUUGAGAAUUGGAUGGUUGAACCAAUUUUUUAUUUUUUUAUUUUUAUUCAAUUAAACUAGUCGAACAAGCAAAUCAGUGGCCUGACUGAUUCAACCACCAGUCUGGUUCUAAAAACUUUGGUCAGAAAAUUUCAUCUGACAUAUGCUAAUAGUUGGAUAAUGAUAUUUUGGUUUGAUAGUAUCUAAUUAUACCAAAAAUAUUUUAUAUCAUACAAUACUUAGCAAACGGUUUCCAACUUUUAAAGUCCAAAUUAUUGUACUGAAGUUAAAAAAUUAGAGAUAAUUUUUUUAAAUAAUAAUAAUUUAUUUAUUUUGACCGAAAAUAAUAAUAGUUUAUUAAUAAAAAGGAGAGGUUCCCAUAAUUAUCAUUUUAUUUUUGGAAUAUAGAAAACAUUUUAUUUAAUAUGAAAAUGACUCUAAUGGCCUUAUUACUAUUCUCAUUAUCCAAUGGUUAGUGCAAUAUCAUAUGUUCAUUAUGAUUUUAGGGGUUUAAAUGAUUUUUUUAAUAUUUAAUAUUUUUUAAUUUAUUAGAAUUUUUAUAUUACUUAUAAGUUUUUUGAAUUUUUACAAGUUUUUAUAAAAUUUUAAAUAUAUAUUAUUAAUUAUAUAUUUAAUAAUUUAUUAAAAUUUAUUAGUUUUUUUAUAAUUUUUUAAAGUUUUUAUGAUUUUUUAUCAUUUCUUUAAAUGUAUGUUAAUUUUAAUAAUUUUAAUAUUUUAUACUUUUAUGAUUUUUAAUAAUUUUUAUAUAUUUUUAUAAAAUUUUAAAUAUUUUAAACAUGUUUUAUUAAUUUUAUAAAAAAAACCAUAAUGACAACAAAUUUCUCCCAAACUUACAAAAAGAUUAAAACAAAUUAUAAGAUUACAAAUUCAUAUGUAAUUAACUAUUUUCUCUAACCUCUCUGCUCCCAAAAGUGCUUUACGUAGAGUCCUAGAGAAAGCAGUAACUGCUACAGCUUGAGAUGGAGGAAAGCAGUGGUGAGGAUAGAGAGGGGAGGGAUGAGAUCUCUCUUCUAGCAGAAGAACUCAUCAAAUUAUCAGUCAAGGGGUCGAUGGUCGUACCGAAUUCUAAACCAACGCUGAUAUGUACAGUUUGGACAGAAAAGCUAUACAACCCAGAGAGUUUUAGGGCAAAAAUGAAAAGUAUAUGGAAGACAAGGAAAAAGUUUGAGAUCUAAAUGGUGGGGCAAAAUUUAUUUCUGAUAGUGUUUGAUUUGGAAGAAGAUCUGGAGACGAUUAUGGAGGGGAGACCUUGGUUUUUUUUGCAAAAGUAUUAUUUUAUUUGAUAAGUUAAUUCAGGCGGUGGAAAGAGAUCAGAUUAGGCUUAAUUCAUCUCCAUUUUGGAUAAAAAUUGAUUCGUAUUUACCAAAAUUCGAUAAGAAGGAUCUCUUGUAUGCAAUUGGUGUUACGUUUGGGGGGGUUCUCAGAUAUGAAAUUAACAAAGUCUGUUGUCGGCUCAGAAUCACCUUGGAUGUUCGAAAACCACUUCGUCGAGGUAUUUUUGUCUCUAGUAAUAAUGUUAAUAAAAUGUGGGUUCCUUUAAGUAUGAGAAUUUACCGAUAUUUUGUUUUGGAUGUGGAAGAAUGGGGCAUGGGAUAAAAGAUUGCACUCAAAUAAUACCUGCAAGGAAAAGCAAAAUCAGUGUUGAUCCACCUUAUACGCUGGCUUUAAAAGCAGAAUCAAAAUUAUCUGGAAAAGAAAGUAUGAAAUUUAAUGCUAUGAUAAAGAAGGUGGGGGUUCAAAUUUCUUACACAGGAGGUAAAGUAGUGCUGGCAGAAAGCUCUAGAACAAUAGAAAAAGAGAAUAACGAGAUUCGGGGUGCACAGGAGAAUAUGGAAUUGAUGGGAGGGGAAGAGAUGAUAAAGGAGCAGAGAUGCAUAUAUGGGAUAGAGGAGGUUGAGAAGUUGAAUGAUAGUACGGUACAAGAGUGUAAAAACGCAAAUCCUGAGAAGACGAGCUGGAAAAAAAAACCAAUGGCCACGAUGAUACAAACAAAGGUUGAGAAUAGUACGAGGAAGUGAAAAUCCCCAGAAAAAGAUCUUGCAAGAAGUGAUAAGGAAGAUAUUGAUGUGGAUGGAACAAAAAGAUUGAAACAGGAUGAUUUUGAGGGUUGCGAAAAAGCCUUAUCAAAGGUGAUGUUAGACAAUUCUUAGCAACUUGAUAUUAAAAAUUUCUUGAGAUCAGCGACUGCCAAGAGGCAAGCCGACCGGACGCAAUGAAAAUUAUAAGUUGGAAUGUUCGUGGAUUGGGAGUCCACGGGCAGUAAGAAGGCUGUGUUUUUUCCUAAAGCAACACAAUCCCCAUAUGACCUUCAUGGAGACAAAGCUAGAUAAGCAACGCAUGGAAAAAGUCAGAAGGAGAUGCAAUUUUAUUAAUGGAAUUGAUAUUAAAGUAGAAGGGUCGCGAGGAUGAUUAUGUUUAGCAUGGAAAGGAGAUAUUGUAAUAAGUUUACAAAGUUUUUCUAGGAACCACAUUGAUGUUAUGGUUAAAGAAGGUAAGGAUGAAGAAGAAUAGAGAUUCACGGGGUUCUAUAUUUCACCUUGUGUUAAUAAUAGGAGCGCUACAUGGAAUCUGCUAAAGAAAUUGAGGCAAGAUAGAAGUCAUCCAUGGUUAGUAAGUGGUGAUUUUAAUGAGAUCAUGUAUUCUUAUAAAAAAUAUGGGGGUGUACCAAGAGAAGAGAGUAGAAUAGAGGCUUUCCGAGAGGUUUUAAAAGAAUGCCAACUAGAAGAUUUGGGGUAUUUGGGGGUUUGGUUUACUUGGGAAAGGGGAAAUUUGUCGGAGACAAAUAUUAGAGAAAUACUUGAUAGGGGAGUCGCAAAUGAUAAAUGGAGGCAGAUAUUUCCAAUAGGUAACAUCAAACAUCUACUACACUCAAUGUCUGAUCAUUGCCCAUUUCUUCUAAACACAAAAUGUGAAAAUUCUUAUAAGGACAAUCCAAAAUUUAAAUUUGAGGCGUGGUAGCUCAUGGAGGAAACAGUUGAGAAAGUAAUUAAAGAAUCUUGGGAAUCAAGAACAGGCACAGUAGUUGAAAAACUUGAAAGAUUACAAGCAAACUUAAAGAUAUGGGCGAGAUCAAUUAAAGAAAGGCGAGAGGGACUAAAGAAAAAGCUUACGAAGCAACUUGAUAUGUUAAUGGCGCAAGAAAGGACUGACAAAACGAUGGCAAAAGUUAUUGACACCAAGAUUAACCUGAAUAUGGAAAUUGAUAAAGACGAAGCUUAUUGGGAACAAAGGGCAAUGGCAAAUUGGCUUAAAGCAGGGGAUAAGAAUUCAGCUUUUUUCCAUAGGUUUGCCACAUAUCGAAGACACAUUAAUACAAUAUCAAAGUUGGAACUAAAUGGAGGAGGAGAGGCUAAUGAAGUGAGAUUAAUGAAGCUGCUACUAUGUACUUUCAGAAGCUAUUCAUGUCAAAUGGAGUCGGAGAUCCUUCUUAUCUCCUAACGGGCAUUGAUAAUAACAUCCCGACAGAUAUUAAUAGAAAUUUAAUGUUAAACUAUACAACAGAAGAAGUCUAUGAUGCAUUGAAAGGAAUGGGACCUACUAAAGCACUAGGACAUGAUGGUUUUCUAGCAAUCUUCUUUCAAAAAUAUUGGCACAUUGUAAGUAAGUAAAUUGCUAACUUUUGUUUAGGAAUAUUAAAUAAUGGUGAGAGUUUUGGUCCUUUCAACCAAACAGAGAUCGUGUUGAUUCCAAAAAUCCCUAAUCCCACAAGCCUAGCUAACUUUAGACCCAUUAGCUUGUGUUUGGUUAUUUAUAAAAUGGUGGCAAAAACAAUUGUAAAUCGACUAUAAGUAGGUAUUAGGAGAUGUAUUGAUGUGGGUCAAAGUGCUUUCGUCCCGAGAAGUUUAAUUUCUGACAAUGUGCUUUUAACUUAUGAGGUUUUGCAUACUUUUUGACAAAAAGGCAGAGGAAAAAAAAGAUAUAUGGCAGUAAAUCUUGACUUGAGUAAAGCCUAUGAUAGGGUUGAAUGGGGCUAUAUAAAAAAAGUUAUGUUAAGAAUGGGUUUUGCAAAAGACUGGGUGGAGUUGGUUAUAAAAUGUAUCUCCACAAAGUCUUAUGUAGUUCAUACAAAUGGAGGAAGUGGACAAAGCUUUAAAUUGGCAAGAGGCUUGAGACAGGGAGAUCCUCUAAGUCCUUUUUUAUUUUUAAUGUGUAACGAGGGAUUAUCAUCUUUGAUGAGAUUGACAUUGAAGGGAUGAUUGUUAAGAGGUGCAAAGACGAGUAGAAGAGGCCCAGAAAUUUCACAUUUACUUUUUACAGAUGACUGUAUUCUGUUUGGGGAAGCAUCAGAUAGGGGGUAAUGGUGCUAAAAGGAAUUCUGAAGACGUAUGAAAAGUGUUCUGGCCAAUGUGUAAAUUUUAAUAAAUCUACAAUCUUUUUCAGCACAAACACUACAGAAGGAAAAAAGGAAAAAUUCUUGGCAAUCUUAAGGGUAAGGACCUCAACAAAUAUGGAGAGAUAUUUAGGUCUCCCGAAUGUGCUUGGUAGACGGAAAAAAGAAUCCUUUCAGCAUCUCAAAGAGAAGAUUUAUACCAGAAUUGAAGGAUGGAGUACCAGAAUGUUAUCUCAAAGAAGUAAGGAAGUAUUUUUAAAGUCGGUACUCCAGGCUAUUCCAACCUAUGCUAUGUCUUGUUUCUUGCUACCAAAGUCAUUUUGUAAAUAUAUAGAAAGCAUAUUUGCUAAAUUCUGGUGGCAAAAAGGGCACGGGAAAAGAGAAAUUCAUUAGUGUCAAUGGAAAUAUUUGUGUCGGUCAAAAGAAGAAGGUGGUUUGGGUUUUAGAAACAUGGCUCAAUUUAAUGUCUCAUUACUAUCCAAAUAGGGGUGAAGAAUUUUGAACAAUCCAAAUUCUUUAAUAGCUCAAGUUUUAAAAGUAAAAUAUUACCUGAAUGUUAAUUUCUUGAAUUCACGAUUGGGGAACAAUGCUUCGUAUACAUGGAAAAGCAUUUGGGCUACAAAGGGCAUUUUAGAGGAAGGUUUGUGUUGGAAGGUGGGCAGGGGUACGCAUAUUUCAGUUAGUAAUGAUUUUUGGAUCCCAAAUGUGAAAAAGAACAGGUUAUCAGCUUUAAUUACGAAUUUCAAUGAUUUUAAAGUUUCCAAAUUAAUUGAUCAAAGUAAUAGAACAUGGAAGAAAGAGUUGAUAGCUUCUACCUUUCCGGAGGAUGUUGCUGAGAAGAUUAUUUGCAUUCCGUUGGCAGAAGAACCUCAUGAAGAUUUUUGGGUCUGGAGUGCUGAGGCGUCGGAAAAUGAUCCUAGAGCUUACUCUUUACAAGCUGACUAUAAGGAGUUCUACAAAAAAUUAUGGCUUCUGAACCUUCCUUCAAAAAUAAAAAUUACAAUCUGGAAGAUAUCAUGGAAUUUCCUAUCUACGCGAGUUAAUAUGCUACUAAUAAAGUUAACAAACACAACAGUAUGCCCCCGUUGUAGAGUAGGAACAGAGAACAUGGACCAUCUUUUCCGUAAAUGUCCUGUUUCAAUUUAAGUUUGGAGAGAGUUAUCAUGCCAAACAUUUUUGCAAGAAAAUCAGUUGGAGUUUGUACAGUGGCUAACCUGGGUAUUUGUGAAGAACUCAGCAUCACAGUGUAGGAUAUUUUGUUGUGCACUAUGGGCAAUCUGGAGAGAUAGGAAUGACAGAGUGCACAAAAAAGUGAGUAAAUGUGGAAAAGUAAUAGAGAGAUUUGUUAAUAGUUAUAUAUCAGAGUUGAAUGAGAUUGGUAAAAACAAACCACAAACUUCUAUAACUAUUAACAAGUGGAGGAAGCCACCUGAUCAGGUCGUGAAGAUUAAUUUUGAUGCAGCAUACGACGAAAAGUUUAAUCUAGCGGCUGUGGGGAUUGUGUCCAGAGAGAGUGAGGGAAAGGUUCUUUUAUCAUGCUCGGAGAUAUAUCAACGGGUUGCAUCAGCCUUUGCAGCUGAGGCACUUGCGUGCCGGAGAGCGACCCAAAUCGGCAUAGACAUGCAUUGGAAAAAAGUCAUUAUUGAAGUAGACUCUUUAUCAAUAAUAAAAAAGUGUAAGACAAGUAUCCCAGAUAAAUCAAAGGUAUGUGCCUACAUUCAUGAUAUUCAUAAGCUACUAUUAAAAUAUAAGGAGUGCAGAUUUGAAUAUAUCCCAAGAGCAGGAAACAGUCUUGCGCAUACUUUAGCAAAAGAAACGAUGAAUAAUAAAAUAGUAGUUUACCUGGUUGGAGGCGUCCCUGAAUAUGCAGAAGAACAAGAGGAAAGGGAUAGAGUGAGAGAGCCAGAUUGAACAGGAAAGGGAGAAGAUGAAAUGGAGGGAGUCUGAAUGAGGGCUAGUAAUGGAAUGGAUGAAAUUAAAGUCCCCUCGGGAGUGUGAAUGCAUCUUGAUGAAGAAAUGGCAGAUGAAGUGACAAGACGGUGAAGAGUCAUCUUGCUGAUUGGGCAAAAAUUACAGCAACGUUAAUGGGAUUCCAGAGACUUCUGACUCUAUUUUUGUUCUGUUGAUUUUCUAGGCUGAAUUAGGAUUUGGUUUGCUGUUCUUAGUUUUUAUCGUUUCUUUUUUUAUUUUGAUGCCGGGCCAACUCUCAUAUUCGGGCCUUUCUUUU